This 49-nucleotide non-coding RNA is filed under the name Jhaorihella thermophila. RNAcentral describes it as "SAM-SAH-Weickhmann-2018 RNA". It matches the Rfam family "SAM/SAH riboswitch aptamer". Lineage: Bacteria; Pseudomonadati; Pseudomonadota; Alphaproteobacteria; Rhodobacterales; Paracoccaceae. The record is from RNAcentral.
CCGUCACAACGGCUUCCUGGCGUGGCGGGGGACAAAACUCAAUGGAGCA